AUGAAUAAUUCUUAUAACGAUCCAUCAGUUAAAUCAUCAGUUGAAUCUGUACAGAUGUUCCAUGUUAUCAAUGAAGUAAUAUCUGAAGGUAAUCCAUUUUAUCUAUGCAACACACUGAAAUGAGAAUUGUAUCACUGUAUUUUCUGUUCUGUUUUUGUGUCCAUACCAUGUGAGCACUAUCCUGAGAUUCCAAGAUGGUCAGCGUCCGGUCGAUCCAGCCUCGAAUUCAAACAAGUGAUCAUCAUUCAAAAUCCUACAUCUCCCAUAAUUGCUCUUCUUUCUUGAGCUAGUAAGCUUCAUCCAGCCAAGUCAUAUUCUAAGCCAUCCAAACAAUAAUGGAUGCUUCCAAACAUCAUAGGAAGCAUCCACAAAGACUGCCUGCAUCCAUCAAUUUGUCUCCUGAUAUCACAAAUAAGUAAAUAGAACAACACAAAUUGUAAGUUGAGGUUUGUGCAUCAAAUCUCAAUAUCUACUGUCCACUACUCUCAAAAGAUUUCUGCAAUAUGCUACACUUCAAACUUCCCUCUCCAUUAUAUGAUUCUCCGCUCCAGAUCUGUUUUUAUAAAACGGCACAAAACCGAUAAGAAGGUUUGUGCAUCAAAACCCAAUAUCUACUGUCCAAUCUACUCUCAAAACAUUUCUGCAAUAUGCUACAUGUGAAACUUCCUUGUCCGAUAUUUCAUUCUCUAUGCCAUGAACUGUUUUUAUGAAGAGGCACAUAACCGAUAAAAAGGUUUGUGCAUCAAAACCCAAUAUCUACAGUCCACAACUAUCAAAAGAUUUCUGCAAUACGCUACACUUCAAACUUCCCUCUCCAUUAUAUGAUUCUAAGCUUCAUGAUCUGUUUCUAUGAAGCGGCACAAAACCGAUAAAAAGGUUUGUGCAUCAAAUCUCAACAACUACUGUCCACUACUCUAAGAUUUCUGCAAUGCGCUACAUGUGAAACUUCCUCCUCCAUUACAUGGUUCUCUGUGCCAUGAACCGUUUUUAUGAAGAGGCACACAACCGAUUAAAAAGGUUUGUGCAUUAAAGCUCAAUCUCUAUGGUCCACUACUCUUAAAAGAUUUCUGCAAUGUGCUACAUGUGAAACUUCCUCAUCCUAUAGUUGAUUCUCUAUGCCAUGAACUUUUAUGAAGAGGCACACAACCAAUAAAAAGGUUUGUUCAUCAAAACUAAAUAUCUAUUGUCCCCUACUCUCAAAAGUGCAUUUACAGAUUUCUGCAAUACGCUACUUCAAACUUCCCUCUCCAUUAUAUGAUUCUCUACACCAUUUACUGUUUCCAUGAAGAGGCACACAACCGAUUAAAAAGGUUUGUGCAUCACUAUUAAAUAUCUACUGUCCACAACUAUCAAAAAGAUUUCUGCAAUAUGCUACACUUCAAACUUCCUUCUCCAUUAUAUGAUUCUCUGCUCCAUUAACUAUUUUUAUGAAGCAGCACAAAUCUGUUUAAGAAGGUUUGUGCAUCAAAACUCAAUAUCUACUGUCCACUACUCCCAGAAGAUUUCUGCAAUACACUACACUUCAAACUUCCUUCUCCAUUAUAUGAUUCUCCGCUCCAUGAAUUGUUUUUGAAGCAGCACAAAACCAAAAGAAAGGUUUGUGCAUCAAAACCCAAUAUCUACUGUCCACUACUAUCAAAAGAUUUCUGCAAUACGCUACAUGUGAAACUUCCUCCUUAUGCUUUAUUUGAUUCUCCACUCCAUGAACUGUUUUUAUGAAGCAGCACAAAACCAAUAAAAAGGUUUGUGCAUCAAAACUCAAUCUCUACUGUCCACUACUCGCAAAAGAUUUCUGCAAAACGCUACACUUCAAACUUCCUUCUCCAUUAUAUGAUUCUCCACUCCAUGAACUUUCUAUGAAGCAGCACAAAACCGAUUAAAAAGGUUUGUGCAUCAAAACUCAAUAUCUACUGUCCACUACUCCCAAAAGGUUUCUGCAAUGCGCUACACUUCAAACUUCCUUCUCCAUUAUGAUUCUCCAGUCCAUGAACUGUUUUUAUGAAGCACACAACCGAUAAAAAUAAAAGUGAAUACAAAACCAUUGUUCAAAUAUCUUCAGAAAAUGUCCCAGCAAAACUCUAAACUGAUGCAGGCAUUCAAUAGUCAAAGUUAUUAAACAAAUGAAUAACCGCAAAAGUAACACAAUUAUAUAUUAAAUAUUGGAUGGAUGGCUUGUAUUAUAUUAAAGGCUAUGUACAGCAAAUUUAGAUGCCAGCCAAAGGAGGAUGGCUUGCCCCUGCUGAGUCUGGUUCCUCCCAAGGUUUCUCCCUAUACCUCUCUGCUGAUGAUGCUUCUCUUCACUAAUUUAGGGAGUUUUUCCUUGCCACUGUUGCCUUCUGGCUUGCUCACUGGGGUAUUAAGGCACAAUAUUUUCAAUGUAUACUGUGUAAAGUGUUUGUAAAGAAUAAUAAAUACAUGAUGAUUUAGAAUAUA
Molecule: long non-coding RNA, 2433 nt
Organism: Cyprinus carpio carpio
Lineage: Eukaryota; Metazoa; Chordata; Actinopteri; Cypriniformes; Cyprinidae
Source: Ensembl